RNAcentral lists this ribosomal RNA (468 nucleotides) under uncultured bacterium. RNAcentral describes it as "partial 16S ribosomal RNA". It matches the Rfam family "Bacterial small subunit ribosomal RNA", at positions 28 to 507 of the family's 1533-position model. The record is from RNAcentral.
GACGAACGCUGGCGGCGUGCUUAACACAUGCAAGUCGAACGGAAAGGCCCUGCUUUUGUGGGGUGCUCGAGUGGCGAACGGGUGAGUAACACGUGAGUAACCUGCCCUUGACUUUGGGAUAACUUCAGGAAACUGGGGCUAAUACCGGAUAGGAGCUCCUGCUGCAUGGUGGGGGUUGGAAAGUUUCGGCGGUUGGGGAUGGACUCGCGGCUUAUCAGCUUGUUGGUGGGGUAGUGGCUUACCAAGGCUUUGACGGGUAGCCGGCCUGAGAGGGUGAGCGGCCACAUUGGGACUGAGAUACGGCCCAGACGCCUACGGGAGGCAGCAGUGGGGAAUAUUGCACAAUGGGCGGAAGCCUGAUGCAGCAACGCCGCGUGCGGGAUGACGGCCUUCGGGUUGUAAACCGCUUUCGCCUGUGACGAAGCUUGAGUGACGGUAAUGGGUAAAGAAGCACCGGCUAACUACGUG